RNAcentral lists this ribosomal RNA (454 nucleotides) under uncultured eukaryote. Its description in RNAcentral is "SSU rRNA". It matches the Rfam family "Eukaryotic small subunit ribosomal RNA", at positions 339 to 810 of the family's 1831-position model. The record is from RNAcentral.
GACUACCAUGGCAGUCACGGGUAACGGAGAAUUAGGGGUUCGAUUCCGGAGAGGGGAGCCUGAGAAACGGCUACCACAUCUACGGAAGGCAGCAGGCGCGUAAAUUACCCAAUCCUGAUUCAGGGAGGUAGUGACAAGAAAUAACAACUCGGGGCCUCACGGCUUACGAGAUUGCAAUGAGAACAAUUUAAAAUCUCUUAGCGAGGAACAAUUGGAGGGCAAGUCUGGUGCCAGCAGCCGCGGUAAUUCCAGCUCCAAUAGCGUAUAUUAAAGUUGUUGCAGUUAAAAAGCUCGUAGUUGAAUUUCUGAUUAUGGAUGUAGCGGUUUCCGUUACAUUUGUAGUCAUCCACAUGAGAACCUUUCUCGGCCUUCACUGGUCGGUUGGGGGAUUCAUGUACUUUACUUUGAAAAAAUCAGAGUGUUUCAGGCAGGCGUUUGCAUGAUACACAAGCAU